This 15877-nucleotide long non-coding RNA is filed under the name Oryza sativa (Asian cultivated rice). RNAcentral's name for it is "long non-coding RNA (OSAT_LNC000345)". The stretch from base 5430 to 5515 matches the Rfam family "MIR1846 microRNA precursor family", at positions 1 to 86 of the family's 110-position model. Lineage: Eukaryota; Viridiplantae; Streptophyta; Magnoliopsida; Poales; Poaceae. The record is from RNAcentral.
GGAGGAGGGGGUGGUAUAAAAUAUGUCUCCACGGAACAUUAAAUGGAGUAAAAACACUCUCCAUCGGGUCUGGCGGGGGCGGGUUUGGUUCACCAUCCCUCGUCCCCGCUCUCCGUGGAGGUCCGACGUAACAAUGUAUGUGUAAUAUUAUCAUGUAUAUUUGGCCCAUCUAGCCCAUAGAAACUAGGCCCAAAACGUAGAGUAUAUAAAGUAUCUACAAAACCCUAGCCAUUCCAAUCCCUUCUCCCUUUCGUCCCCAUUCCCCACGCCGUCGCAGGCUCGUAGCCUAGCUAGCGGCGUGCCGGUGCCGACUCCCGAUCUCAAUCUCGUAGGGCCGCCGCGCGCCUGCCGCGUCAGCACCCUCGCAGGGUCGCCGGCUUGUCGUGCUCGCGUCCGCGCAGGGCCGCUGCGCCUCCAGGUCUCGGCACUGCCGCACCAGGUCCCAGCGCCACAGUCGUCUCGGUCUCUCGGCAGCACUGAGGACGCCAAGGACUUGGCACCGGCCACCAGACGUUGGGCUCAUCCUCCACUGUCCAUCCAUCCAUUCUGAAUUUCUGAUCCGUCAUCUGGGCUUAUUUGUUUUACUGAUGGUGGAUGCAGGUGAAGGCUACGGUGGCAAGAAAGACCUACUCCGAACUAUGUUUUUGUGUAUGCCUGGACAACAUGUGUAGCGGUGAUAACUAAUGAGUGAUCGACUGGUGAUUGAUUAAUGAUCAUGUGUUAUUGUGUUGUUGCUUAAUAUGAGAAUUUGAUGGAUAGUGUUGCUGAGGGGAAAUUCUUGGGUACAAAUUUGUUGUACUGCUUGUUGCUGCAAUGCUGUUGCAACUGAAUAAGUAAUAAACUGAUGAUGUGCAUUUGUGAAUUUGUGAACUUGUGAUAUGAAUUUGUGAACUUGUUUUCUUGUAUAAUUAUGUUGUUGUCAUGUGCUGAAAUUGCAUGGCCAGAAUUGCUAUUUUGAGUGAUAAUCUUUUUAUCAAAAUUAUUGUUUGAUAUGUGAAAUAUAUACAUGAGACUCGCGGGGAUGGAGGCUCCACGGAGGCGAUGAUGGUGAAAGAUGUUACCCCGUUGCAUUUCACGGUGAUGGUGAUAGGGGAAAUUCUCCUCCACCGAGGCGGGUCUGGUGGUGUAACCUCCGACGGAGAAUUCCCCGUUGCCAUCUCUAAAUGGAACAAGCAUGCUCGGCCCGAUGGAUCUGUACGUGCUCAACGCCAAGCGCACCAAAGGUCUUAGGCUCGAUUGAUAUUGAUCACUUACCCAAUUAAAUAUUAAAUCACUUAUUCCUUUUAUGUAUGUAAGCAAGCAUCAGAUAGAGCCCUGGUACACGUGAAAACGCAUGCAGUGGCAGAGGAUUCAGGGGGAUGACGAAGAAAGUGGAUGGGGAGUUGCGAUUGCCAAGAUCAUUGAUGCCGUUCUCAAUGUGGGAAAACACAUAAUAGAUAUAGGGUGUGUUUAGUUCACGUUAAAAUUGAAAGUUUGAUUGAAAUUGGAAUGAUGUGAUGGAAAAAUUGAAAGUUUGUGUGUGUAGGAAAGUUUUGAUGUGAUGUAAAAGUUGAAGGUUUGAAGAAAAAGUUAGGAACUAAACUAGGCCAUAUAUGUAGGUGUUGAUGAACUUGACUGCAUGUAUUGGCCUGUUCAAGUUCACUGUCAUUGGUGCAUGGAGCAUAUAAAUACACGCGAAAACUUUUCAUUAUAUCAGAUCGUGAAUAUUUGGACACAUGUAUGGAGUAUUAAAUAUAGAUAAAAAAAACUAAUUACACAGAUUACGUGUAAAUUGCGAGACGAAUCUUUUAAGCCUAAUUGCUACAUAAUUUGAUAAAGUAGUGCUAAAGUAAACAUUUACUAAUGACGGAUUAAUUAUGUUUAAUAAAUUCGUCUCGCAGUUUACAGGCGAAAUUUAUAAUUUAUUUUGAGUAUACGUUUAAUACUUCUAAUGUGUUCCCGUAUAUCCAAUAUGGCACGCUAAAACUUUUCACCCGUGAAUCUCCUAGCCUAACUUAAACACUCUCAAACAGACAUGUAAUUACAGAUGCACACAUGCUGUCACACAUGCAAGAUUAGAUCGAUAUAAUCAACUUUAUCCAAUUUUAAUUGCUCCAUCACUAGCUAGCCAUUGUUUACACGUUCCCUCCAAUAAAUCGCCAUCGACUUCACUGCUGCCACUUCCGUCGCCACCGACUCAGCUGCCGUUGCCACCGCCGUCGUCGCCACAACUGUCAUCUUUGGUGCCGCCACUAUACGAUGUCCCAGACAAGACAGUGAGUUUAAGUUCAACUAGCAAUAAUCACGCGCUACGCUGCGUGUGGAUUUGAAGGUAACAUCAUACUCAAAGCAGCCCAAAAUGGUUACAGUUGUCAAGUUUGCGCCAAGAGCAUACUUGCAUUUACACUUUAUUAAUAUUUUCAAGAUCAAAUGUGAAUUGUUCUGAUCGGUUCGUUCAGAGAACAAUUUGUACAACCAAUGCACAGUAGUGUAAAAGCCUUUCCAGUGUGAUGUAGAUUACAGAAAAAGAUCAAUGUUGAGUCGGUAAUCAUUAGAAGGCAAGGCGCAUACCUGAAAAUUUUUCAUAUAGAAAUCUUCAUCACGAAACAAUGAGAUCUUUUCACAUAGCACCUGCAUUGUGAAGGAUAUUUUAGUGUUUCGGCGCAAUAAAAACAACAGUAUAUAACCAAAUGUAUGUGCAGCAAUUUAGAUGACUGCUGCUUACUUGGAAAGUGCCAGUGACUACUGAGCUAUGUCCAAUAGGCCAACAUUAUGUCCAAGAGUUCGGUUUUACAUGCAUGAAGUGGAAACAAAAUGUUGCAAUUUCGAUUGAUUAAGCGCAAAAAUAACUAAUGAAAUCAUAAUGUCAAGUCAACCUAUGAUGCAAACUUCAUAGAAGUAUAUGUAAAAACAGAGAUUCAAUUUGAAAGAUGAUGGGUCAGUAGCAAAUUCCAGAAAUAUCGCUGUAAGGAAAAAAAAGAAAGAAAGACCCCAUGUGCACCUAUUGAAGCAUAUUUUUUUUAUAUCCAUCAUUUAGAGACUUAUUUAGUAUAUCUGACAAUUGUAGUUGCUAUGAUUAAUCGAAUUUACGGAGACUACCUAGAUGAGAUGGCCAAGAGACUUUUAGCAUGAUAUGAUAUACUUACCUUAAUCGUGGCCAAAAGACUUGAAACAUGAUAUGAUAUAGUUGCUCUGAGGUAUGGAGGUAUGGCUAUUUAAAGUUAUUUGCAUGAUCCAAAUAUAGGGGUAAAAGGUGGGGGGGGGGGGGGGGGCAGCAAAUCAGCAGAAAAAUUAUCAUAGAUGGGAAACAUACCAGAUGGAGCAUGUGGUUGCUGAUUUACAUUCCAUGCCAAGGAAUAAAAGGGAACAUAUAAUUUAUAAGUUUGUAUUGUCCACUUGCUAUUUAAAUUCAGAAUAUGUAGAUUAUUUUAAAGUAAUGAUAUUAUCUGAAUAUCCUUUUUCCAGAAUAUGCAGACACAUUUCAGGUUUAUAAGCUUGAAAAAAAAGGCACUAACGAACAUUCCAUCGUUGGUCAAAGAAUCCCAUCAUAGAUCAACUGGCCUAAAAAAGAAGAAAAAUAAGUGUUUCAUGCAUAGAAAGUGGUUUCAAUUUUAUAUCCAUCUGUUGGAUAUUAAGACAAAACUUGAAGGAGAAUAACUAUUCCACAUUGGUUCCAGAUAAUUAAUUACAUCCUUUUCAUGAGAAAGCAACAAUUAACAAUUACUUUUGUUCCCCAUAACACAUUGGGCCAGCUGUACUUCCCAACUAUCAUGAACAAUUUGUUUAAACAAAAAUUAGCAAUAAAGCACAUGGGACAUUAUUCAAAUACCAGUAUGUCCACUAUCAUUGUCAGUAAGUUCCAAACACUGUCAAUGGAUUGUAGUUCCUACACUAUAAGAACUACCUCAUCCAAUAUCCUACUAUCCCCAACUGGUUGUCAAUAACUGUAAGCCUACCUGACCAUUUGAAAUAAAAUAUUUGAUAGUUUUGGAACACAGGUAGCUGCUUAAAUAGUAUAUAGUCUUCAAUAUGAAAUGUCACAUUUUAGCAAUAUGACUAUGCAUGUAGCAUGUUAAGCAUAUUUCUCUUAUCAAUAACUAUUUCAAUUCUAAACAAAAACUACAACAUGAGUAUAUGUUUUUCUUUAUUGCCUAAAUUCACACACCUCAGAUGAGAUACCAUACUUCCCAAAAAUGCAUUAGUGCUCGUACAGAGAGAACCUAGCUAGUAUUUCUUAGUAUACCUCUAGCUAAGAAGAGGAACCAAAUUAGGCGACAAAGACUAAUGCACCUCGUGCAAGCUGGUGUAUAAUAAAAAAAAGUCCCAUGGCUACAGCAUAGGACAAUCUUUGUUAAAAUUCCAGUUCUAAAUAGGUUACAAUGACUUCGUAUGAUGUUCAAAAAAAGUAAUUGAUUCGUAUUGAGGCAAAACAAAACUUACAUAGAUAUGUUCCACUUCAUAUGCACUGGGAGGGAUACCUGCAUCUAGAGAAGCUUAUAAGCACUGAUAAAUAAAGAACAGUAGGGCAUUUAGGGCAUUUAUAGUAUGGUCUGAAAGGCUUUGAGUUGGAUCUGCACUAUUAUGUUUCUUGUGUACAUAAUAUGAACUGAAUCAGCCCAAGAAGAACUUUACCUUGGCAACCAAAGAGAAUCAUUACAUACAUGUCAAAGGUAUCCUAAGCUUGAUAUAAUGAACGAAAGCCCCAAAUCGCAUAAAUAUGCCCUGCAUCACAAAUGGGAACAAAUAAACCUAUCAACAAUAUCGUUUUGCCCUCCAAAGUUGUAUAUGCAAUUCCUAACUGAAACAAUUAAUCACAGCAUAGAGAAUUUUGAGUAGCAGCGUGUGUUGUUUCAAGCUAAACAGUUUGAUCACACAUGACAGUGUUGAAGUACAUGCAGAGGGAAAUUUCUCCACACAACCUACACACUAUAACUGAAUAAUGCCAUACACAUUAAAAGCAAAUCAAGACUGGCACUGUAACUAAAUCAAGGCUUACACAUUAGAAGCAAAUCACGGUUGUAAUCAUCAACAACUAAGGUCCAACCACUUCCUUCUCAUGGCCCUAUGACACUGAGCUAGAACGAAAAGGAAAAAAGAGAACAGGAACGACCAGGCAGCUAUUGUCGCGGAGCCGCAGCUGUCUUCAUCGCGGUCCUGGUCAAGCCGACACUCUCCCUUCCCUUCUCAUGGCACUGAGCGAGGCUCUCAUGGAGAGGGAGAGGAGAAGAUGGCAGUGGCGGCGGCCGGAGAGGGACAGGAGAAGAGGGCAGCGGCGGCACCCUAUUGACUCCAUCCGGGCGACCGAUUCAACUGGAGGGGAGGCCAAGAUUGAUGAAUCAGACGGUCCCCGAGCCAUAUUUGACACCGCAGAGAGGGAGCGGCGGUGGCAGCACGGUAGAGGAGAAGGGAGCUGCGGCGGCGACGGCGCUUGCGAGCGGAGGAGGUGGGCGUCUGGGCGCCGGAUCCGCCGGCGAGGAGACCGGGGUCACCGGAUCCGGCGGUCCCGGCCUCCUCACUAGGAGAUCCGGCGGGUCAUUGGGAGGGAGCGGCGGCGGCAGCACAGUAGAGGAGAGGGAGCUGCGGCGACGACGGCGCACGCGAGCGCAAGAGGCGGGCGAGGUUGCGGUGCGAGCUGAGGAGGUGGGCGACGGCGCACGCGAGCGCAGGAGGCGGGCGAGGUUGCAGAGCGAGCGGAGGAGGUUGCGGCGCGCGUGUAGGGAGAGGAGAGGACGGGCGGCUAGGGUUUGUACCGGUUGGCGAAAUCCAGGCCGUCCGUCCAUAAUCCGACGAUCGCACGGGUAAGGAAGGGCCAGCACAGCGGGACACGUGGACGGCCAGAUUGACCCUACGGUGAGAUCGGACGGUGGAAAGAAGCGAGGACCGGCGCAUAAUUAUCCGAAAGUGCAGGGGUUUUUUCGCCAAAAUUGAUGAUGUGGCACUCUACUCUUCCCGCGUUCCCACGGCUUUUAAGUAAACCUAUAUAUUAACUAUUUAGUAUUCGGUUAACCUUAUCUUGAGAGGUAGCUACAAAAUUAUGGUGCAAUACAUCUGUUCAAUACUAAUUUAGUACUUCAUCCGUUUCACUUUAUAAAACAUCUAUUUCCUUGUCUAAAUGCAACAUCUAUAUGAAAUUAUGUGUCCAAAUUCAUAUCGAACCAUACAUGAAUCUUUUUAAAAUCCAAAAAUUCUUAUAAUAUAAAUAAUUAAUUAUCACACUCCGAUUAACGACAACUUGCUUUCAUUAGGCCCCCUCCAAUAUGAGCCAAUCAUGUAUUUUCACCACGCUUUAGGACUUUGGCAUAGCAUAUGUGCUGGCCACAUGGAAGUGAUGCAACAGUUAACAACGCUUUGCUAAGAUUAGAAUAAGGCAACAUUGAAGUGAUUAAUGGGGUUGUUCUCAGUACUAACUCUGUUUUCUUAGGUUUCGUUCAUGGACGGUAGAUAUGUUCAAAGUUCGUUUCUAAUUUUCUAUGUUGCUUAAUACUUGUUUCUAAAUCAGCUCCAAACUCUUAGUAUAUAGCAUAGAAUAAUGUGAAAUACCAUGAUGUAUACAAGUAAUUCAAGAAGCUAUUUCUGUGAUAUGAAUGCAGUCCGGCCAUCGAAAAAAGCAAGAAGUUCCAAAUGUAUGGAUAAUAUGCACACCUUUAUUGUAUUUCAAUCUAUUUAAAUAUGCCAACCACUUACACUUAAUUUAUUUGGAUAAUUAUUUUUUUCACAUGUAAAAUUAUGAAAAAAUUGAUGUGAGUUGGCAUGGAACUGAAUCUCAAUUUAAUUUAGACAUAUAUACAAAUUAGGCAAAUUUUGCUAUAGGACAUCACGACUUCGUGGUUUUAGCCGUAGGACACCGCACAAACUCACUUUUAGGGGAAAAAACACUCUUUAAACGUGCUUAUUUGCCACUGGACACCACGUCCAUUAAAAUAUUAAUUUUCGGUUGAAUAGAAGAGAUAAAUAGUAUGAAAGGUCAAAAAUACCCCUGACCCCACUUGUCAUAUUCUUCCUCUUCCUCCUGGUUGUGCAGCUUCUCCCCGGACUGUUGCCGGUCCAAGUGCGUCGGCUGGAACACGCUCAUGGAUUCCCUGCCUGCUAUGUCCUGCUCGUAGUAUAGGUCCUUGAUCCUCUCGGAGUAGGCGCCAUGUAGCGACACGACGAGCACCGGCUUGCGCCUCCCCGGCCGCGCCGCCCGGCUGCUCUCCGGCAGUGGUAAAGUUGAGCUCCUGCUGCACACGGGGCAGGAUGUUCUCUCCAUGCGCGCACAACAUGAUCUGGCCGUAGAGCUCGUCGGUGGAGAUGCGCGCCAAGUAGAAGGAGCACACCUGGAUGCCGACACGCUACUCAGUGUAGGCCAUGUACGAGGCAUGGUACCACGUUCCUCGGGUGGAGCAGGUAGCGGCCGAGGAGGUGGAACGCAGCAUCGUGGCACGGGAACAUCCGCGGCAGCACGCGCUCGAUGCGCGAGACCAGGAACAGUCCGAGCACGAAGUAGUUGUCGGAGAGGAGCACCAUCCAGUCGACGCGCCACAAUGCGUCCAGCCCGUCGUCGCAGAAGAAGCGCGGCUCAUUGCCGUUGCGGUUGAAGUACGUCGUGCUGCAGGUGCAUGUACAUCCAUGGCGGUAGUGGGUCUCGGGCAGCGCGUUGCCGCGCCGCAGCGCGUUGCCGAGGCUCUCGCGGGUGCACGCGUUGAAGCCCCGGAUGCCGGAAAACGGGAAGUCCCCCUCCGGUAGUGUCCACGUUGAGCCCGGGAAUUGCUCGCAGAUGAGAUAAGGAAGAAGAGAGGAUGGGGAAGAGAAAGGAGGGGUAAUUUGGUUACUCUGCAUAAAAAUAUGGGCCCGUGUCGCCUUGUCAGCACGAAUACGUUAUUUUAAUAGGGGCAGUAUCCGCUGGCAAAUAACCACAUUUAGAGAGUGUUUUCUCCUAAAAGUGAGUUCGUGCGGUGUCCUACAACUAAAAUCACGAAAUCGCGAUGUCCUGUAACAAAAUUUGCCUACAAAUUAACGCCGAUGGCACAACAGAAAAAAGUAAAUCACUAUUUUUAUUUUAUACUCCCCCGUCUAAAAAAACAGACCUAGAACUGUAUGUGAUACAUUCUAAUACAACAAAUCUGGAUAGAGUUAUGUCCCAGAUUUGUAAUAAUAGGAUGUGUCAUAUCCAGUGCUAGAUUGGAUUUUUAUGGAACGGAUGGAGUAACUAUGAUAUAUGUUUGUGCUCGUGAUUUUGCUUUUAUAAUUGUAGUCGAUCAUCUACGGAACUAUUUAUGUGUGUAUAUGUAGCCAUUCUAUAUCUAUAUAUUAGACACUACCACUCCCCUCUCUCUCUACGUUAUCUCUUUUCUCAGCCUUCCCGGCUUACCACCUUUUCCCCACCUUCUUCCCUGCUUCCCCUCCUCUCCACCGUCAACAGCGGGCGUCGGUGGCGGCCCCGUGGGUGCGCCUCCACGCCACCCGCAGCACCCAGGAUGAGGAGGUCAAGGUCGACGCCACCAUGUUCGACGGCGCCGCCGUCCCGCCCCCAGACGCGCCCCUCUUCCGCCGCGUCGAGUCGCUCGACCACGUCCCGCGCCUCCACCUCGGCCUCAUCAUCGAGGCCUCUACCGCGACAUGUUGCACCAGCACCAGAAAUCAUGUUGUACGGAAGCUUUUGUGAUUUUGCUCUCUGGUUUAUGUGGUUUGUGAAGUUCCACUUCUGUAAAUGAUUCGCAGCAAGCUGGAGGCUAGGGAGAGGGAGUACGUGAGGAAAUUCUUGCAGGAGAGGGCGGCGGCGGCAGCGGCGGCCGGGCGAGGCGGCGCUCCCACGGGAGAUUCACGACGAGAUCGGCCUAGAGUUCCUCGGCAACGUCACCGGCAAGCCAUACACGCUCCACGCCAACAUCUUCGCCAACGGCGUCGGCAGCCGCGAGCAGCAGUCGUCGCAUCUCCUCCUGGUCGUGGUCCUCAUCGUGCACAUCGUCGCUCGGCUCCCUUGACGACGAUGCCGUCGUUGCGUGCGUCGUCAAGGCGGCGGCGAGCGGGCGAGCGGGCGGCGGCCAUUUUCACUUUUUUUUUGUUUUUUUUCCGUGCGAGCGGUAUAAUAUGACCGCAUCGGGAUAAUCGAUUAUCCCGUGCGGUCCAUUAUCCCAUACGGUUGGGCCGUCCGUACGCGAAAAUAUUGAUUUUUUCAGACAUUUGGGUAUAGACGGGCAAAUCCUCCGCACAGAAAAAUCAUUUUGACCGCAAGGAAAAAUGGUUUUCGCAGUAACGAGAGACCGAAGAAGAUUGUACAAUUAUUAAUUGGGUAAUUUGUAACCAUGCCAUUAUAAUUUUUUAAAGUUUAAGAUAUGCCAUCGGUAUCUCAAUGACACGUAGGACCCACAUGAAUCAAUGACAUGUGGGUCAGGAUGGCAUAUCUCAAAUUUUACAAAAUUAUAAUGGCAUGGUUACAAUUUUCCCUUAUUAAUUUAUGUUCGCAUCGCGUGCGGUUUGAUAAGUGAUUUAACUAGGUUCCUUGUUUUGUCUAAAGCACCACCACCAGAAUCAUCAGUAUAUUUUACUGUGGAUUUUGGAGUACAAUUAAAAAUUCUAUUACACUGACUUAAAAUUUGAAUGACUUUUACCUUUUUAAACUCUAUGGAUGAACCCUAAAAAAAUAAUUGCCGAACAAAAUAUUAUUUCAAACUGGGAGAUGAUGUGGCAGUUUUUUUUAAUUUUAUACAGUGGAUUUUUGGAGUACAAUUAUUUUACCAUUGGCAAGAUGAGCAUAUAUUAUUUUUUUAAAACUUUAAUUUGUUGGAUGGAUAGUAUGAGUACAUUUUAUACAAUCUAUAUGUUCUUUUAUACAGGCUCUGUGUACAGCUCAGAUGAUGCACUUUUCCUGUGUGAAACUCUGAAGUAUGAUUCAUGUCAGGCACGUUUUUUUAGGAUAAUGUCACGUGCCUCUUUUAUUUUUUGCCACGUGUUUGAAAAUUAUUUUAUUUUAGGAUUUUUAUUCAUAUUAAAAUGGAUUGUCCAUUUUAUUUUUUUUAUAUGUAUGACUAUAGUGUACUUUGAGAUAUGUAUGAAUAUGUGUAGCCAUUCUAUGAAGCUUUUUAUUCGGUCAUUCUAUAUCUAUAUAAUGAUUAAUUUAUGAUGAUUAAUUUAUGUGUGCAUGCGUACAGUUUGAUAAGUGAUUUUGGUAUUCGGGCCUUGGCCGUAUUUAGUUCCUCCAAAAUUUUUUUGACACCACAGACACACAUUUAAAGUAUUAAACAUAGACUAAUAAAACAAAUUACAGAUUCCACCUAUAAACUGCGAGACGAAUUUAUUAAGCCUAAUUAAUCUAUCAUUAGCAAAUAUUUACUGUAGCACCACAUUGUCAAAUUAUAGCGUAAUUAGGCUCAAAAGAUUCGUCUCGCAAUUUACAUGCAAACAAUGCAAUUGAUUUUUUUUUCAUCCACAUUUAAUGCUUCAUGCAUGUGUCCAAACAUUUGAUGUGACGGAAUUUUUGGAAGUUUGAAGGGAACUAAACACAACCCUUAUUUAGAUCCCAAAAAAUUUUGGCCAAAAACGUCACAUCAAAUGUUUGGACAAAUGCAUGGGGCAUUAAAUGUGGAAAAAAAAUCAAUUGCAUAGUUUGCAUGUAAAUUGCGAGACGAAUCUUUUGAGCCUAAUUAUGCCAUGAUUUGACAAUGUGAUGCUACAGUAAAUAUUUGCUAAUGACGAAUUAAUUAGACUUAAUAAAUUCAUCUCGCAGUUAUAGGCGGAAUCUGUAAUUUGUUUUGUUAUUAGUCUACGUUUAAUAAUUUAAAUGUGUGUCCGUAUACUUCAAAAACUUUGCACCCAAACAACUAAACACACCCUCAGGCAAUAUAACUUGGUUCUUUUUUUCUCUAAUGCAGCACCACCAUAGUCAACUGUAGAGUUAUCCCUUGGUAUGUGAAGUGAUGAUCAGAGCCAAUGUACCUCUCAAACCGACUCACAAAUGGAUAUCAUCAUUGUUGAAAGAAGGGUUUCAUCGGGGUUUUAACCGAUGAGGUAUGUAGAUGUUGCAUCGGCUUACAAAGAUUGCAUAUAAGUUGGAUUUAGCCAUUCGCAACAAAGGUUUCACUGUUUAUCUAAUCUUGUGGAUUUUAUGACAUGGGACCUCCAGCCAAUAUAUGCUUUAACCAUCGGAAUAUUUAUUUUAUCAUAUCAUUGUUAGCCGAUUAGUUUCUACUGGAUUAUAUUAUUGUUAUUUAUCAUCAUCGGCUGAUGGCCUUUAUGUCAUUUAUUUACUCAAGUAUCAGACUUUGCAUUGGACAUAUAGCCGAUUGCUCAAAACCCUAUCAACAUCUGCUGGUAUCGGCAUCAGUUGGAAUUACUCCGUCUGCUUGUCAGCCAAUCGGCUCAUUGAUCUACUAUUUGCAUAUCUUAUCAGUUGCAGGAUCAAACUGACUGACACUUCUGCAUCUCAUCAACCUUUUGACCUGCACUGGAGCUAAGUAGAUCUCCCAUGCCGUUGGGUUUGUUGACUUAAUUUUGCGCCAACACAGUUCUGGCACCAUCGGCCGAGCGCGGUUUUUUCGUCAACAGGGGGUAAAAUGAAAAAAAAAGGAGAUGCUAAGGUGCCUAUUUUUUCCUCUCAGGGUGGGAUGAGGAUUUGUGGAAGGAUUCCUUAGAAAAGAAGUUUCUUGAAGGGUAUUGAAAAUAUUUCGCAAACUGAGGAAAUAACGGCUAGAAGCAUCGGAACGAAGAAUUGAACGGCUAAAGUUCCCUUAAUGACGUGGUGUUGUAUUUUGCAAGGAAAGGUUUCACUUUUCACUUAUUUAGAUAUAACACACAUGCAUGUAUUUUCGUGCAACUAGUGACUUGCAACACAUGAUCCCUGCUAGAUGCCUGUUGGCAGUCAUUAAACCCUAAAAUCACCACCAAUAUUAUAAUAAAAAUAUCACAUAAAGCAUGUUACCUAGGUCGAUUUUGCCUUAUUUCAAUGAGUUACACGAUUUCUGUUGGAUUUCACUACGCGUAUAAUAAUUCACGAUUUUGACCUAUUUUUUUUCCAAUGAAAAUCUGGCAUUUUAAGCCAAAGGGCUGACCAGCCGACCAACAUACCUCAUGGGUCAACCGGCCUAAAGACUUGGCCGACUAGCCAACUCAGGGCUCGGCCAGCUAUUUGGAAACGUGUCCUGAUUGGCCACCCUCCUCACUGAGCCGGCUGGCCUGCGCAGCACGAUGUGAGGCUAAUGAUUGAUUGGUGGACCCCAUUCUGGGAGUGAUGUCUUCUCGGAUGAGUAACAUGUAGACUUACUUUUCCCUCUUAAUAUUUUAUUCAUACAUUAUGCUUAUUGCCAUACUUUUUUUCCUAGUUCUCUUCUAAGUUUAUUUUUUAUGCUUGCUUGAGUGGAUGCCUCAUUUAUAAUUAAGCUGGGAACAUGUAUAGUUCUAUGUGUGGGUGUGGUGCUUAGGAAUAGUUUUAUCUAGGAAGGCUGGUUGGGGAAACAGAGGACGUAGUUGGCCGGGUGCCGACAGCCUCGGUUGUCCUUUGAAGCCAGCCACGUUAACCCUAAUUACGCUGACGCAAAUAGGUAGACCAAUGCUUAAUGUGGAAAGCAGUCCUGUUUCCAAAGCAAGCAAGGAUAAGUGUAGCUAAAUGGAUUUCCUAGAAUGAAAGCAGUCUUGUGAUGUGGGGAAUAACCCGGGGACUUGAAUCCUGACUAAUUCGAUGAUUUCACAACCAUAUCAUCACAUUCACACAACAAAUACAUAUAUAUAGACAAUAAUGUUCACAUUUCUAAGUGUUAACAAAAGACACACAUCACAUUGGACUAACUGGUCAAAUAAAAGAGAGUCAAACAUAGCGCAAUAAGAGAACAAAAAAAUAUAUACAUUCUUUAGUAUGCCAUCUAACUAACUAGGAAUUACUACCCAUGUCGAAACGCGGAUGACCGCACCGAGAAGGCAAAUUCUUCUUUGCCAAUCGAAGAGCACAAACAAGAAUGAGAUAGAAUACAACCAAAAUUACAGAUGAAUGAUUAAGCUCACAAGUUGGGGUCUUACAAACCGAUCUAGCGGCGAAACUAUUCUCGACAGAAUAUUCUAAGCAAAACCCGACUCUAAACGAUGACGGCUACUUAAUUAAUAUGAUUAGGGACGUCCUAGGGUUGCCCUAGGGCGCACACCCUCAUGGGCUAAGCCCACGACACAAUUAUAAGGCCCAAAACCCAAAUCAGAUUUGGAUUGGAUGAGAUACAUAACUUGUUUUGUAGAUUCCCGACAGCUCGGUAGGAAUUUUGACGUAGGACCAAAACCAUCUAAAAGUAGACUCCAUAAGCUUUCCAACAAGUACUCAUAGGCCCCGAAAUUCCUUCUAGAUCAACAUCUAGGUUCGUUUGAAGUUGAUGCUGUCAGGAGGCCCGAAUCCGAAUCCAAAACGUGUAGAACUUGAUCUCUUGUCUUCUAUGGACCAAAAGUGACGUGGUGAGGUAGAAGUAGACUUGGAGAAGGUCUUGGUUUGGUCCCCAAUCAACUUCUUUGAUCAUCCAUGCAUUCGUUACGCUCGGUCUCUUUUCCUUCGCCCAAGCAAGUACCUCUACAAACAAAAACACAUCAUUGUGUAGCAACGUUUGUUCAAAUAUAUAACAAGUAAAUCUAAUGUAGAACAUAUGUACCUUUGUUUGAUUAAUAUAUAAGGUAUCCAUGGUUAUAUCCAAACUAGUAGUGUCCUCAUCACCUAGCUAGAAGUAUCAUGACGCUAAUGGUGGUGGAUAGAAAAUGGCAAAGGAAGGGAGAUAGUGCUGUUUCCAAAGGCAGAGAUGAAGUAAAAUAGGGUUCAAUGUAAAACAAAAGGGAGAGAGAGAGAGAGCUCAAAGUGAAAAGAAUGUGUAAAGGAGGGCAAAAGUGAAACUUUUGUAGUAAAGAGGUCCACAUUGCAAACCAUCUCUAUGUUUUAAGUUUUGAUGCAUGUAAAAAUAAUGUGACUGUGACAUCCCGGCCCAAUUUGGAUUAGGCCUGUGUGGCCCAUGUGAGUUGUGUGCGUAUGUUUAGUACGACCUUAUUAGUUUAGCAUGAGUGGAACUAACUUAUAAGGCCUCUUCCCUCCAACCAUACCCUUUUACACGAAGCGAGGACGAAAGUGUAAGUGGAGUGAUGUGUGUAAGUGGGCCCGCUACGUGGUUCUGGAGGGAGGGCUGUAACAAAUGGUAUCGGAGCCGACCCUUGCGAUUGCGCGUACGGGUCAGUGUGCGGGCAUAUGGCGCUGGCACUGGACGUACGGAUGUGCGCUUCGCGGUUGCGCGUACAGGUCAGUGUGCGGGCAUAUGGCGCAUGGCGCAUGUGGGCUCUGUGUGAGGCACAUGGCAUGGCAUAUGGCGCUAGCACUGGACGUACGGAUGUGCGCUGAGAGGGGGUGUGUUCCUGGACAGUUGCCUAUAUGCCUGUGUGGCUACAUGGGUAAGUUGGGCCGACAGGGAUGUCGGGUCCUUUGAGGGGGGGGGGGGUUGUGACAUCCCAGCCCAAUUUGGAUUAGGCCUGUGUGGCCCCACUCCCGGGUUAACCCUUUUAUACGAAGCGAUGACGGAAGUGUAAGUGGAGUGGUAUGUGUAAGUGGGCCCGCCCGUCGGAUGGGCUGGCUACACGGUUCUGUAGGGAGGGCUGUGACAGUGACGUGGUCAUCACUUCCAACUUAAAUGCUAAAAAUAUUGUUCUCAAUUUGUAACCUCCAUUGAGAGUAUUAUCAUGUUCUUAGUAAUUGCUUAUUGAUAUUUUUAUGGAAAAAGAGGUGUAGGCAAUCUUCUUCACAUUAUUCAUUACAGUAAGAUCGUUACACAUUUAGUUUACUUCUCGUUGAUCUGCCACUCAGCAUACUGUUGCGGCCCACGCCUCGGAGCAAAGACAGCCAUCUCAUCGCCGCGGUUGAACUUUACAUGCCUAGAGUCCUCCCUUGAAAGCCUAUAAGCAUUGGCGACCACGUCAACGGGUAGAGCACGAAGAAUGGAGGCCUUCCCUGCGAUCUGACUGUCGACAGCAUUGUGAUUGGUCUUGAAGGAUACCCAUGCAAAUCCUUCACGUCGAGCCUUCACCACCACUGCAAAGUUCUGUGGGAUCAACAAGAUCUGCUGUUGGUGAAGCUCACCAUCAAAGACACUCCUACCACGGUGAUCCACCACCUGGAUGUGCCCUUGGCCAGCGGUCACGUACAUCACCGUGUGUGCGUUUACCGUCCAAUGAGGAGUAAGCAAGGCAUUCUACAAAAAUGGAAGUGAAUCAACAUGACAAAUACUUGGCAUAAACUACAUACAUUAUGCUUACAAACUAUAGUAAUUUUCUCUUUGUUUAUACUCACAUUUUGGAGAACGAUUCUGGUGGCACUCAUCUGGAUGAUAUUGAGUAUUGGGAAAUUCUGGCUAUUGGCCCUUGUGAUCCUUCCACCAUGGGGGUUAAAUAUGUCACUGGAUUGUGGGUUGUCUAUGUUCUUCCUCAACUUAAAUGCACACAUAAUUUCAUCUAGGACAUUUUGCUGGCCGCAAGCUCCACCACUUCGCAACCAGGUGGGCUGUAGCUGCUUGGUUGGCAAGUAAGCUUGGGUUUGUUCCUCUUUCACUGGCUCAACUUGGAGAGAGGGCUGCAGUGCCUGGAGCCCAUUUUCAACUCUAAUGAUGGCACCUCUUGGGUCACUCAGGCCUUGGAGCCUCAACACAGUUUGCUUGCUCACACUCAGGGCUUCAGAAAGUAAAUCUGGGCUGAACCCAGCAAAGAUGUUCUGAUUUCUGCUCAGUUGUUCUGUCUGGUAUGAGUACGAUUGCUGCUGCCAGCUACUUCUAGGCUUUCCAGCCAAGAAAAACUCCUAACCCAUUUAUCAUUUCAUAGUAUACAAUACACAUUAGCAUUUUGUUAUCAUUGAAAUCAAAAUAGUGAUAUGGAAUAUUCAUUAUGCUUGUGUGGAGCAUAUGUACGCAUACCCUUCUUUUAG